GAUGAACGCUGGCGGCGUGCCUAAUACAUGCAAGUCGAGCGAACAGACGAGGAGCUUGCUCCUCUGACGUUAGCGGCGGACGGGUGAGUAACACGUGGAUAACCUACCUAUAAGACUGGGAUAACUUCGGGAAACCGGAGCUAAUACCGGAUAAUAUAUUGAACCGCAUGGUUCAAUAGUGAAAGACGGUUUUGCUGUCACUUAUAGAUGGAUCCGCGCCGCAUUAGCUAGUUGGUAAGGUAACGGCUUACCAAGGCAACGAUGCGUAGCCGACCUGAGAGGGAGAACGGCCACACUGGCACUGAGGCACAGUCCAGACACCUACGGGAGGCAGCAGUAGGGAAUCUUCCGCAAUGGGCGAAAGCCUGACGGAGCAACGCCGCGUGAGUGAUGAAGGUCUUCGGAUCGUAAAACUCUGUUAUUAUGGAAGAACAAAUGUGUAAGUAACUAUGCACGUCUUGACGGUACCUAAUCAGAAAGCCACGGCUAACUACGUG
Molecule: ribosomal RNA, 497 nt
Filed under: uncultured bacterium
Lineage: Bacteria
Description: partial 16S ribosomal RNA
Rfam family: Bacterial small subunit ribosomal RNA
Source: RNAcentral